Molecule: ribosomal RNA, 1628 nt
Filed under: metagenome
Description: bacterial LSU rRNA
Rfam family: Bacterial large subunit ribosomal RNA
Source: RNAcentral
UAGGCAUGAGUAACGAGAUAUAAGUGAGAAUCUUAUACCCUUGAAGCCCAAGGGUACCUGGGGAAGGGUCGUCCACCCAGGGUAAGCCGGUACCUAAGGAGAACCCGAAAGGGAUAACCGAUGGAAAACGGGUUAAUAAUCCCGUGCCUGUAUAUUAUGAAUUGUAAGCGGUGACGCAGAAGGCGGAUACGCGAGUUCUAGUGGCAUGAACUUUUAAGCAGUAAUACCGAAGAAGUCUGCAGGGAAGUCCACAGACAGAGGAGGAGCUGCGAAUACAAGACCGCAAGGUCAAGGCGUAGUAGUCACGCUGCCAAGAAAAGCCGCGUACAGUGCUUGAAUAAUAUACAGACCGUUCUGAAAACCGACACAGGUGGGCAAGCUGAGAAGGCUAAAGGGAGCGGAAGAACCUCCGUUAAGGAACUAGGCAAAAUGACCUCGUAACUUCGGGAAAAGAGGUGCUCCUAAAGGUGUCAAAACCGGAAGGAGUUGCAGUGACAAGGCCCUGCCGACUGUUUACCAAAAACACAGGUCUAUGCGAUUUCGGAAAGAAGAAGUAUAUGGACUGACGCCUGCCCAGUGCUGGAAGGUUAAGGGGAGUGGUGCAAGCUACGAACCGAAGCCCCAGUAAACGGCGGCCGUAACUAUAACGGUCCUAAGGUAGCGAAAUUCCUUGUCGGGUAAGUUCCGACCUGCAUGAAUGGCGUAACGAGUUGGGCGCUGUCUCAACGGAGGAUCCGGUGAAAUUCCAGACUGGGUGAAGAUGCCCAGGACCCGCAGUUAGACGGAAAGACCCCAUGGAGUUUUACUGUAACUUGAUAUUGUAAUUUGUUGUUAUGUGUACAGGAUAGGUGGGAGGCGGAGAAUCAAGGUCGUCAGAUUUUGAGGAGCCGACGGUGGGAUACCACCCUCAUGAUAAUGGAUUACUAACUAUUGUGUAUGAAGAGUACAGAUAGGACAGUGUUAGGUGGGCAGUUUGACUGGGGCGGUCGCAUCCUAAAGAGUAUCGGAUGCGUGCGAAGGUAGGCUCAGGUUGGUUGGAAAUCAACCGUUGAGUGCAAGGGCAAAAGCCUGCCUGACUGCGAGACUGACAGGUCGAGCAGAAGCGAAAGCUGGUCCUAGUGACCCGGCCGAUCCGAGUGGAAGGGCGGUCGAUCAACGGAUAAAAGUUACCCUGGGGAUAACAGGCUAAUCACGCCCGAGAGUUCACAUCGACGGCGUGGAUUGGCACCUCGAUGUCGGCUCAUCGCAUCCUGGGGCUGAAGCAGGUCCCAAGGGUUGUGCUGUUCGCACAUUAAAGCGGUACGUGGGCUGGGUUCAGAACGUCGUAAGACAGUUCGGUCCCUAUCUGCUGUGGGUGAAGGAAGCUUGAAGGGAGUCGCUUCUAGUACGAGAGGACCGAAGUGAGUGUACCUCUGGUGAACCAGCUGUCAGGCCAAUGGCAGGAGCUGGGUAGCUAAGUACGUAACAGAUAACCGCUGAAAGCAUCUAAGCGGGAAACUGACCCUAAGAUGGAGCUUCCCAUUCGUAAGAAGUAAGGGUUGUUCGAGACUAGGACGUUGAUAGGUCGCAGGUGUAAGUGCAGCGAUGCAUUGAGCCGAGCGAUACUAAUAGCCCGAGGCUUUGGCCAA